This 503-nucleotide ribosomal RNA is filed under the name uncultured Oscillospiraceae bacterium. RNAcentral describes it as "partial 16S ribosomal RNA". The record is from RNAcentral. Lineage: Bacteria; Bacillati; Bacillota; Clostridia; Eubacteriales; Oscillospiraceae.
CACGUAGUUAGCCGUGGCUUAUUCAUUCGGUACCGUCAUUUGUUUCGUCCCGAAUAAAAGAAGUUUACAACCCGAGGGCCUUCUUCCUUCACGCGGCGUUGCUGGGUCAGGCUUGCGCCCAUUGCCCAAUAUUCCCCACUGCUGCCUCCCGUAGGAGUCUGGGCCGUGUCUCAGUCCCAAUGUGGUCGGCCAACCUCUCAGUCCGGCUACUGAUCGUCGACUUGGUGGGCCGUUACCCCGCCAACUAUCUAAUCAGACGCGAGGCCAUCUUAGAGCGAUAAAUCUUUGGCAACCAAAGCCAUGCGACUUAGUUGCAUUAUGCGGUAUUAGCAGCUAUUUCUAACUGUUAUUCCCCAUCCAAGGCAGGUUCCUCACGCGUUACUCACCCGUCCGCCACUAGGUAUUCCUAUCAAUUGGCCGAAGCCUCUGUCAAGGGUACCUCGUUCGACUUGCAUGUGUUAAGCACGCCGCCAGCGUUCAUCCUGAGCCAGGAUCAAAACUCU